UAUAUAGAUCAGUUAUCUUCAUAAAAAUAUGAAUUGCAAACAUUCGCAAAUAACGGAACAAACAUCCGCAAGUUGCUUAAUAAUUUUAAUACUUUCAAUAAACCGUAUCAAUUCAUAAUUUAUUUAUUUCUCAUAGAAAGAUUGAAGUCGUUGAGCAAAAUUACGAGUUACAUUGUAUACUUUUUCCCAAGACGUAUAAAAUGAAUCUAACGUCUUAACGAGUUUUUAAUGUCUCCCAUGAGAGUAACAUAUUAUAGUAGAUAGUAACUUCGAUUCGUUGCUCGUUCCCGUGAAAACAUGAUAAUUAUUCCCAGUUUUUCUAAAUAUUUAUUGUUCGUAAAUAUUUUUUUACACGGAUAAGUUUAUUCUAUACCGAGUUAAAUAGAAGCUGUAAUCACGAUCAAGAAUCACCUGUUAAAAAGUCCUUUGAUAUAGAUUCUGACCUUUAUAAUUCAGAUUUCUUUACAAUUAAAACUUCAAUGACCUCGUUUUUUUUUUCGAAGCGAUUUUAAUUUUUAUAUCUGGGAAAAAUAAAAUUUCUCUUCGUUGAAAAACAUAUUCGAUUUUCAAUUAUUUUCAAAAUUUUCUUAAAUAUUCCAUUCAAAAUCGACUGAUUUUUAAUAAUAAUAAUAAUAUACACGUUUCUUCUA
Molecule: long non-coding RNA, 650 nt
Organism: Apis cerana (Asiatic honeybee)
Lineage: Eukaryota; Metazoa; Arthropoda; Insecta; Hymenoptera; Apidae
Source: RefSeq, a predicted model, not a curated record